Molecule: ribosomal RNA, 254 nt
Filed under: uncultured bacterium
Lineage: Bacteria
Description: partial 16S ribosomal RNA
Rfam family: Bacterial small subunit ribosomal RNA
Source: RNAcentral
UACAGAGGGCCGCUACCACGCAAGUGGAUGCCAAUCCCCAAAACCUCUCUCAGUUCGGAUUGAAGUCUGCAACCCGACUUCAUGAAGCUGGAUUCGCUAGUAAUCGCGCAUCAGCCACGGCGCGGUGAAUACGUUCCCGGGCCUUGUACACACCGCCCGUCAAGCCAUGGGAGCCGGGGGUACCUGAAGUGCGUAACCGCAAGGAGCGCCCUAGGGUAAAACUGGUGACUGGGGCUAAGUCGUAACAAGGUAAC